This 293-nucleotide unclassified non-coding RNA is filed under the name air metagenome. RNAcentral's name for it is "partial contains small subunit ribosomal RNA, internal transcribed spacer 1, and 5.8S ribosomal RNA". The stretch from base 1 to 46 matches the Rfam family "Eukaryotic small subunit ribosomal RNA", at positions 1786 to 1831 of the family's 1831-position model. The record is from RNAcentral.
AAGUCGUAACAAGGUUUCCGUAGGUGAACCUGCGGAAGGAUCAUUAUUGAAUAUGUUGGUACUGUUGCUGGCUCUUCACCGAGCAUGUGCACGUCCAUCUAUUUAUCUUCUCUUGUGCACCUUUUGUAGUCUUUUGAAGAAGGAGUGGGUGUGUCCUCAGGGAAACGCUUUGCCCCUUUUUUCAGAGGCUAUGUUUUCAUAUACACUAUAAAGUUACAGAAUGUCUUUUAAAGAUUGUGCUAGCCGCAGUCAUUAAACCUAUACAACUUUCAGCAACGGAUCUCUUGGCUCUC